RNAcentral lists this ribosomal RNA (253 nucleotides) under uncultured bacterium. Its description in RNAcentral is "partial 16S ribosomal RNA". It matches the Rfam family "Bacterial small subunit ribosomal RNA", at positions 524 to 776 of the family's 1533-position model. The record is from RNAcentral.
UACGUAGGGGGCAAGCGUUGUCCGGAAUUACUGGGCGUAAAGAGCUCGUAGGUGGUUUGUCGCGUUGUCCGUGAAAACUCACAACUCAAUUGUGGGCGUGCGGGCGAUACGGGCAGACUGGAGUACUGCAGGGGAGACUGAAAUUCCUGGUGUAGCGGUGGAAUGCGCAGAUAUCAGGAGGAACACCGGUGGCGAAGGCGGGUCUCUGGGCAGUAACUGACGCUGAGGAGCGAAAGCGUGGGGAGCGAACAGG